This 489-nucleotide ribosomal RNA is filed under the name Fusarium proliferatum. Its description in RNAcentral is "eukaryotic LSU rRNA". The stretch from base 154 to 307 matches the Rfam family "5.8S ribosomal RNA". The record is from RNAcentral. Lineage: Eukaryota; Fungi; Ascomycota; Sordariomycetes; Hypocreales; Nectriaceae.
CAUUACCGAGUUUACAACUCCCAAACCCCUGUGAACAUACCAAUUGUUGCCUCGGCGGAUCAGCCCGCUCCCGGUAAAACGGGACGGCCCGCCAGAGGACCCCUAAACUCUGUUUCUAUAUGUAACUUCUGAGUAAAACCAUAAAUAAAUCAAAACUUUCAACAACGGAUCUCUUGGUUCUGGCAUCGAUGAAGAACGCAGCAAAAUGCGAUAAGUAAUGUGAAUUGCAGAAUUCAGUGAAUCAUCGAAUCUUUGAACGCACAUUGCGCCCGCCAGUAUUCUGGCGGGCAUGCCUGUUCGAGCGUCAUUUCAACCCUCAAGCCCCCGGGUUUGGUGUUGGGGAUCGGCGAGCCCUUGCGGCAAGCCGGCCCCGAAAUCUAGUGGCGGUCUCGCUGCAGCUUCCAUUGCGUAGUAGUAAAACCCUCGCAACUGGUACGCGGCGCGGCCAAGCCGUUAAACCCCCAACUUCUGAAUGUUGACCUCGGAUCA